Molecule: ribosomal RNA, 825 nt
Filed under: uncultured Bacillota bacterium
Lineage: Bacteria; Bacillati; Bacillota
Description: bacterial SSU rRNA
Rfam family: Bacterial small subunit ribosomal RNA
Source: RNAcentral
AGGGGGUAGCAAUACCCUAGUAAAGCGGCGCACGGGUGAGUAACACGUGGAUAACCUGCCUCGAAGUGGGGAAUAACCCCGGGAAACCGGAGCUAAUACCGCAUAUUCUGACGAGAUCUGCGGAUUUUGUCAGGAAAGGAGCAAUUCGCUUUGAGAGGGGUCCGCGGCUGAUUAGCUAGUUGGUGAGGUAAUGGCUCACCAAGGCCACGAUCAGUAGCCGGUCUGAGAGGACGGUCGGCCACACUGGAACUGAGACACGGUCCAGACUCCUACGGGAGGCAGCAGUGGGGAAUUUUUCGCAAUGGGGGCAACCCUGACGAAGCAACGCCGCGUGGGUGAUGAAGUAUUUCGGUACGUAAAACCCUUUCGACGGGGACGAAACCGCAAGGUUGACAGUACCCGUAGAAGAAGCCCCGGCUAACUCCGUGCCAGCAGCCGCGGUAAUACGGGGGGGGCAAGCGUUGUUCGGAAUUACUGGGCGUAAAGGGCGCGUAGGCGGUUCGCUAAGUUGGAUGUGAAAACUCUGGGCUUAACCCAGAGCCUGCAUCCAAAACUGGCGAACUGGAGUACUGGAGGGGAGAGCGGAAUUCCUGGUGUAGCGGUGAAAUGCGUAGAUAUCAGGAGGAACACCGGUGGCGAAGGCGGCUUUCUGGACAGUAACUGACGCUGAGGCGCGAAAGCUAGGGGAGCAAACAGGAUUAGAUACCCUGGUAGUCCUAGCCCUAAACUAUGGAUACUUGGUGUGAGGGGGGAUUGAAUCCCUUCGUGCCGUAGCUAACGCAAUAAGUAUCCCGCCUGGGGAGUACGGUCGCAAGGCUGAAACUC